RNAcentral lists this ribosomal RNA (796 nucleotides) under Lachnospiraceae bacterium. Its description in RNAcentral is "bacterial SSU rRNA". It matches the Rfam family "Bacterial small subunit ribosomal RNA", at positions 1 to 783 of the family's 1533-position model. Lineage: Bacteria; Bacillati; Bacillota; Clostridia; Lachnospirales; Lachnospiraceae. The record is from RNAcentral.
UUAAUGAGAGUUUGAUCCUGGCUCAGGACGAACGCUGGCGGCGUGCCUAAUACAUGCAAGUAGAACGCUGAAGGAGGAGCUUGCUUCUCUGGAUGAGUUGCGAACGGGUGAGUAACGCGUAGGUAACCUGCCUGGUAGCGGGGGAUAACUAUUGGAAACGAUAGCUAAUACCGCAUAAGAGUAGAUGUUGCAUGACAUUUGCUUAAAAGGUGCAAUUGCAUCACUACCAGAUGGACCUGCGUUGUAUUAGCUAGUUGGUGAGGUAACGGCUCACCAAGGCGACGAUACAUAGCCGACCUGAGAGGGUGAUCGGCCACACUGGGACUGAGACACGGCCCAGACUCCUACGGGAGGCAGCAGUAGGGAAUCUUCGGCAAUGGACGGAAGUCUGACCGAGCAACGCCGCGUGAGUGAAGAAGGUUUUCGGAUCGUAAAGCUCUGUUGUAAGAGAAGAACGAGUGUGAGAGUGGAAAGUUCACACUGUGACGGUAUCUUACCAGAAAGGGACGGCUAACUACGUGCCAGCAGCCGCGGUAAUACGUAGGUCCCGAGCGUUGUCCGGAUUUAUUGGGCGUAAAGCGAGCGCAGGCGGUUAGAUAAGUCUGAAGUUAAAGGCUGUGGCUUAACCAUAGUACGCUUUGGAAACUGUUUAACUUGAGUGCAGAAGGGGAGAGUGGAAUUCCAUGUGUAGCGGUGAAAUGCGUAGAUAUAUGGAGGAACACCGGUGGCGAAAGCGGCUCUCUGGUCUGUAACUGACGCUGAGGCUCGAAAGCGUGGGGAGCAAACAGGAUUAGAU